RNAcentral lists this long non-coding RNA (2075 nucleotides) under Sus scrofa (pig). Lineage: Eukaryota; Metazoa; Chordata; Mammalia; Artiodactyla; Suidae. The record is from RNAcentral.
UUUUUCCCGGGCUUUCGGUCAGCGUUUACCUUUUCUCGCGGGUUUGGGCGCGCAUCGAACUCUGAAGGGUCGGGAAGGCCUGUCGUUGGAAUGUGGUUGAGUUCCAGGGAGUGUACAGGCUGGAGGAUGGGACAAGACCUAUCUCUGUAUCGAUCAAGCACGGCGUUGGUGUUCCAGCUCAUCACCGAUCCUAAGGAAUUCAAGUGCCUCCCAGGAUGAAUACAGGUAAUUUUUCCAACUGGGGCAUUGGGGUGGCCUCUGUUGUUCCCCACAGAGCAAAUGGGCAGUGAAGCAGUGUUACCUUUUUGCUCCUUCAGUUUCUUCCUUUUGCAAUGAUAUUCCUGGGGAGGGAGACAGCAAGCAGCACAGUUGGUUCUGUGAGGGUGUUCUCUUCCUUCACACAUAUGUCACUGUCAGAUGAUUUGAAUUGACAAUGCUGAUCCUCUGUGAGGUCCAACACUUAAUAGCAUGUUAGAGUUCUGAUGGCAGUUUACAUGAAUGAAAAAGUGUUAUCUUGUGAUAGUAUUUUAAAAUAACCAUUUGCUGCUGUUCUACAGGUUGUCUUGAUGGUGAUACAUUCAUCUGUCUUAAGGUAAGUUACUCCUACCAAUACUGUGGUAAAUUAAUGUAUGUGUGAGCGUGGGUAACUACCAUCUGGAGGGAGUGUUGUCAAAGCUUCAGUUGAUGACUUUCUGGGUUCUUUGUUCCUUGUAGUGGUGAUUCCUGAGCUCUUAUUUUGUCUUUUGUUUCCUAGAUCCCUGCUGAUCUGCUCAUGGUCAAACUCAUGGAAAGAGUUGAGAGUGGUGAGUACUUGUAACCUUGGUUAUAACUUGUCUCCAGUGCCAGUGAGGAGAGCAAGCAUCCUGUCUUAACCCCUGUCCUAGCCCCAGAGCCAGUAAUGGUGAACCCACUGGGGCUAACAGGGAGAGAGGAUGAAAACAUGUUCCGUAAGGAACUGUCUGAGGUACAGCAACUGCCAAUGGGUAGCAUUUGUUUAGCUUCCCUUGGCUUACAUAUUAGCUGGGAUCCUUUUGGUUUUUUAAGGUACUCUACUGAUUUCAUGAUCUUCUCAUUCAGGGGCACCUUGUUCCUGCAUCCUCAAAGGAGCAUCUUGUUCCUCUAUUUAAGCUUCCAGAGUUAAAAGGUUAGUUGAUUAAUGUCACCAUAAUAUAUGCCACCAAGUAAGCAGUUUCUGUGAUGAAUCAAACUAGCUCACUAUGAACUAACAAUGAAAAGAUAUGAACACCUGAGAAACUGGAGAACAGAGCAGUGGGAUACUGUCUGCUAGGAACUUAAUAUCACUUACAGUUUUGUCCUUUCCUAGGUACCUGUACCAUUUAGCGGCUUGUUCACUCAAAGAUCCAUCUUUUCUGGAGCCUGAGGAUGAUUGGAGGUAAAUCUGUUUAUCUAUGGCUGCUAUGUAAAGUUUGCCAGUUUUUGUGUGGCACUUUGGAUAGUUGUGCAGGUAUUACUUAAUCCAAAGUCUGCCUUUGGCCAUUUGUGAACCACCUGAAACAGAUUUCUGCUCACAUGAUGAGUUUGAUACCGCCCCAGUCUGAUCACUAUGACUGAAAGGUAUUUUCUGAGCUGUGAGUUUGCCUUAGAGUGGGAAGUUAGUCUUUUUAUAAAAUGUCUGUUGAGACCUACACAGCCUAUUAGGGUGUCCCAUUCCUUUGGUAAUGUGUUGACUUAGUUCCCAAUCUCUGUUUUGCAGGUGAAAGGUGUAAGCCAUACUCUGCUCAACUCCAGUCUGAAACUAAGGUUAAAAGAACACGUACUUAACACACGGGUAAGUAAGUAUCCAUUCACGUACUUGUGUUAAAUAUCAGACUAACUAUAUAAAUACAAAAGUACAUUAGAGCAGCGCUUUUAGUGUUAACUGGUUGAAAGGAUAGUAUGUUCUAAGUCCGUUUUAGUAACUAAGUCCGUUUUAGUAAGAACCCUAAACUGUUCUUUUUCUCUGCAGGAAUCCAACUCUUGGAGGACAUCAGAAGUGGAAUUUUCUUAUACAACCUACCUAUUCAAAUUAGCAUAUAAUCUUUCUAGCCUUUCUAAAUAAAUAAAGGGAUUUUUUU